This 492-nucleotide ribosomal RNA is filed under the name uncultured bacterium. Its description in RNAcentral is "partial 16S ribosomal RNA". It matches the Rfam family "Bacterial small subunit ribosomal RNA", at positions 29 to 507 of the family's 1533-position model. The record is from RNAcentral.
AGUGAACGCUGGCGGUAGGCCUAACACAUGCAAGUCGAACGGCAGCACAGUACGAGCCUGCUCUUACGGGUGGCGAGUGGCGGACGGGUGAGGAAUACAUCGGAAUCUACUUUUUCGUGGGGGAUCACGUAGGGAAACUUACGCUAAUACCGCAUACGCCCUACGGGUGAAAGCAGGGGAUCUUCGGACCUUGCGCGAUUGAAUGAGCCGAUGUCGGAGUAGCUAGUUGGCGGGCUAAAGGCCAACCAAGGCGACGAUCCGCAGCUGGUCUGAGAGGAUGGUCGGCCACACUGGAACUGGAACACGGUCCAGGCGCCUACGGGAGGCAGCAGUGGGGAAUAUUAGACAAUGGGUGCAAGCCUGAUCCAGCGAUACCGCGUGGGUGAAGAAGGCGUUCGGGUUGUAAAGCCCUUUUGUUGGGAAAGAAAAGCAGCAGGUUGAUACGCCGCUGUUCUGACGGUACCCAAAGAAUAAGCACCGGCUAACUUCGUG